AAAAAAACAUAAGGCUUCUGUUUAAGAAUUGCUUAAGAUGUUCUUCUGAUCCUGAGUUCCAGCAGAACAGCUGAUGGCAACCAGUUUGAAGACCCCAACAGAGGCACUGAGUCGGCAGUACUAUGAGAACACAGUUUCUUCCUCUCCCUGUCCCAUGACUUCACGCUGCACUCUUCAACCAAUCAACGAUCUCCACACUUUGGCCCACUCCCAAACCCUUAAAAACCCUAGCCCCCAACUCUUCAGGGAGGCAGAUUUGAGGUUUCCUCCUAUCUCUGCAUUUGGCAGCCCUACAAUGAAACCUCUUUGUCUGCUGCAACCUGGUGUCUCAGCCUAUUGACUUGCUGUGUGCAUAGGGCAAGAAACCUAUUACGGUUACAAAAU
RNAcentral lists this long non-coding RNA (384 nucleotides) under Homo sapiens (human). RNAcentral describes it as "HSALNT0370516". Lineage: Eukaryota; Metazoa; Chordata; Mammalia; Primates; Hominidae. The record is from RNAcentral.